UCCCGUGUAUCAAUAUUUGAGCCGUUCUUUUUUCUCUUUCUCUUUUUCGUUUUUUCUUUUUCUCUUUUUUUUUCUUUUCUUUUCUUUUUUCCUUUUCUUUUCUUUUUUUUUCUUUUCAUUUCUUUUCUUUUCUUUUCUUUUCUUUUUUUCUUUUCUUUUCUUUUCUUUUCUUUUCUUUUCUUUUCUAUUUUCUUUUUUUUUCUUUUUCUCACCUUUUUUCUUUUUUCAGUUUUUUGAAAACAUUUUUAACCUUUUUUAAUUUUUUUUUCAUUUUAUACUAGUCUAGAAGUUUUCAAAUGAUAUAACUACGUUAAAAAAAGGUAAAAUCACAAAAAUACUGCUGAACUCCGAGGAAAAUUCAGAACGAAAAGUCCAUUAUCAAAUGGCAAAAUCAAAUGAUAAAACACAUCAAACGAAUGGACAACA
Molecule: long non-coding RNA, 426 nt
Filed under: Mytilus galloprovincialis (Mediterranean mussel)
Lineage: Eukaryota; Metazoa; Mollusca; Bivalvia; Mytilida; Mytilidae
Source: RNAcentral